GACGAACGCUGGCGGCGUGCUUAACACAUGCAAGUCGAACGGAAAGGCCUGCUUUCCCUUGUGGAUUGCGGGUACUCGAGUGGCGAACGGGUGGGUAACACGUGAGUGAUCUGCCCCCAACUUGGGUAUAAGCCUGGGAAACUGGGUCUAAUUCCCGAUAGGACUGCAGGGUGGUGCCUGUGGUGGAAAACGAUUUUCUAGUGGUUGGGGAUGAGCUCGCGGCCUAUCAGCUUGUUGGUGGGGUAAUGGCCUACCAAGGCGGCGACGGGUAGCCGGCCUGAGAGGGUGGACGGCCACAUUGGGACUGAGAUACUGCCCAGACUCCUACGGGAGGCAGCAGUGGGGAAUAUUGCACAAUGGGCGGAAGCCUGAUGCAGCGACGCCGCGUGGGGGAUGACGGCCUUCGGGUUGUAAACUCCUUUCGACCGCGAGGAAGCCACCUGGUUGGAAGGGUGGUGACGGUAGUGGUAGAAGAAGCACCGGCUAACUACGUG
RNAcentral lists this ribosomal RNA (494 nucleotides) under uncultured bacterium. RNAcentral's name for it is "partial 16S ribosomal RNA". It matches the Rfam family "Bacterial small subunit ribosomal RNA", at positions 28 to 507 of the family's 1533-position model. The record is from RNAcentral.